CCUACGGGAGGCAGCAGUGGGGGAUAUUGCACAAUGGGGGAAACUCUGAUGCAGCGACGCCGCGUGAGCGAUGAAGUACCUCGGUGUGUAAAGCUCUAUUAGUAGGGAAGUAAAUGAUUGUACGUGACUAAGAAGCUCCGGCUAAAUACGUGCCAGCAGCCGCGGUAAGACGUAGGGAGCAAGCGUUAUCCGGAUUUACUGGGUGUAAAGGGAGCGUAGGGGGUGUGCCAAGUCUGGAGUGAAAUGCCGCAGCUUAACUGCGAAACUGCUUUUGAAACUGGCGAACUAGAGUACGGUAGAGGUAAGCGGAAUUCCUGGUGUAGCGGUGAAAUGCGUAGAUAUUAGGAGGAACACCGGUUGCGAAGGCAGCUCACUGGACCGUAACUGACAUUGAGGCUCGAAAGCGUGGGGAGCAAACAGGAUUAGAUACCCCAGUAGUC
RNAcentral lists this ribosomal RNA (440 nucleotides) under uncultured bacterium. RNAcentral's name for it is "partial 16S ribosomal RNA". It matches the Rfam family "Bacterial small subunit ribosomal RNA", at positions 338 to 795 of the family's 1533-position model. The record is from RNAcentral.